ACUACGGGAGGCUGCAGUGGGGAAUAUUGCGCAAUGGGCGAAAGCCUGACGCAGCGACGCCGCGUGAAGGAUGAAGGUCUUCGGAUCGUAAACCUCUGUCAGCAGGGAAGAACGGUCACUGUGCUAAUCAGCAGUGAAUUGACGGUACCUGCAAAGGAAGCACCGGCUAACUCCGUGCCAGCAGCCGCGGUAAUACGGAGGGUGCGAGCGUUAAUCGGAAUUACUGGGCGUAAAGCGCUCGUAGGCGGUAUGUCAAGUCAAGGGUGAAAUCCCCGCGCUCAACGUGGGAACUGCCUUUGAAACUGGCAAACUGGAGUGUGUGGGAGGAUAGUGGAAUUCCAGGUGUAGGAGUGAAAUCCGUAGAUAUCUGGAGGAACAUCAGUGGCGAAGGCGACUAUCUGGCACAUAACUGACGCUGAGGAGCGAAAGCGUGGGUAGCAAACAGGAUUAGAUACCCCGGUAGUC
Molecule: ribosomal RNA, 465 nt
Filed under: uncultured bacterium
Lineage: Bacteria
Description: partial 16S ribosomal RNA
Rfam family: Bacterial small subunit ribosomal RNA
Source: RNAcentral